CUUUUUCCCGUUGUACUUAUUCUUUCAGUUUCUGCUGUUUUUUUUUUUUCACUAAUUAAAAAUGAUUCUGCUUAUCACUUUUCUUUAUUUGGAAUGGAUUUCUUCUACUGGUUUUCUGUCUUAUAUUGGAAAUAACAAAUAUGUAUAAUAUUGAUUAAUUGUAGUAAUUAUUAGUAUUGUUAUAAAAUGUUGUUCACUAAUUUGCUGUCAUUCUUGUGCUUCAAAAUUUUCUUGUACAAUAUUUCUGGCUUCUGCAUAUCUGAAAUACUAAUUUAAUUUCUAAGUUUUUUUUUUUUUUGAGAAAAUAAUAAUAGGGAAUAUAUUUUCUUGAAGGUUAAUUUUCACGAUUGGGACUUGCUCAGUUGAUAGAAUAACUUCAUAUUGAUCUCUCGAUGAAAAUGGGGCUCAGAGAAACUUAGAUGAUCUAGUUAUAGCUAAGCUUCAAAGGUCCGUGUUUGUGUAGAUGAUGAGUCUAUGAGUGAGUUCCUUGGUUGGGUAAUAAUAAAGCCCUUCCUUUCUUGCUAAUUUAUUAUAACAAGUCACACACUCAUACUCUGCAAAUACAGAAACAAAGAAAUUCCAGGAUCGACUACCAAAAGAAAAUAGAAUGGACUAAUUUAUGAGUUAAGAAUUGUGAUUGUCAUUCAAUAUUUUGUGUUCUUGAUAUAGUGGUAGAACAAUCAACCUUAUAUUAGCGAAAGGGGUAGAUUAAUUGGUAUUUGUUCGAGAGAACUAUAAUACUAAGCUCAAGUUUCUGUCAUGCUUCGUCGAUGAAGAAAAAUUCUUGCUUAUGUCAUUCAAUUCUUAAUUGAUGCCGUUUACAUAGUUGUUGUAGAUUUAGGAUCCGUUUGGCCAUAAGGAUUAUUCACUUUUUUCCGGAAUUUUUUUUCACUUUUUUCAGAAAUUACUGUUUGGCCAUGAAAAUUUCAAAUACAACUUGGGAUUUGGAAAAUAAGAAAAAACUUUUUUUCACUUUUUUCACAAUCAAAACAAGUACAUUUCAACCAAAAAAUACUAUUUGCAAAAACUAUGACCAAACACAACUCCAACUCCAACUCUAAAAUUUCCAAAAAAGUGAAAAAGUUUUUGGUUUUUAUGGCCAAAUGCCUACUUAGUUCCAACGUUCCAGACAAUAGUGUUCGGCAUCUAGCAGUAUGAAAUGAAAAAAUUGAGGUAUGUUAACUUAAGGUGUCUGCAAUUGGAGAUGAAGAACAACAGACGUUAGUCACUGAAAUUGGAUGUGACUAUGUGAACAUUUGAUGCCAUGUGAACUUCUUCUUUGUUCUUAUUGUGCAAUUUCCUACAACGAGUAUGUUCUUGGCCUCGGAAGCAGGUUAUUCUUACUCGUCAUCCAUAUCCAAGAUAUGGCAUUGUUAUUCCGUUUCCGGACAAUUUCUAGUCUUUUGCAGUAUUCUUGAGUUUUGAAUUGUGACGUCGUAUCUAAUAUCUCUACAAAGGAGGAUUGCAUGUAACGGUUAAGUAGUUAACAAAGUGACCCUUAGAUUGUUUAUCUUUUGCAGUGAUACAAACGAUCAUUCAAUCUAAUUAUAUUUAUUAUUUACCAUAUAGGAAAGUAAAGGGAUCAAGACUGAAAAUUACAAGUUUAUAUAUUAUUUCUUAGACAUGCGACUGAGAAGAUGAGUUCUAAAAAUUUGUAUUGGCUUUAAACGAACAUCAUUUCAGUUAUUCUAUCUUUAAAGCUGGCUUUCAUUUUCUUUGGAUCUUUGGUACUUGAAAGUUGUAUUUUCUUGUAUUUACUCUGUUUUAAGUUCCCAAGACAUCCUAGAGGAGCUCUAAAUAUAUCUCCUCUCGUCCAAAAUGCUCAGCGAUAUGUGAAGCAUUGGAUAUUAUGGAGCUCGCAACAAUUGGAUUCAAUGGCACCUAAAUUACUUGCCAUACAUGUAUAUUUUUUAUUCAUUUUCCUUUUGAGAGAAAUGAGUUUAUCCAUUUUUAUAUUGUUUAACAUAGAAUAGAAACCUCGAUAAUUCUGUAUUGUCAUGUAUCAUGGAUUUAUGACUAACGCACUGAGUAUUUAUACAGGUCGGCUGGGCUUGAGACGAGGCGUUCGCUAGACCAGCGGACAUCUCGAAUUGAAAACUACGCCUCAUGGGUGGUUAAUUGGUGUAUGAAUCAGAAGUUAUUCCAUCAUAUACAUGAUACUGAAGUAAAUAUGGCCUUCUUAACCAGCCCGGAUUUGAAAGUUGUGAAACCAUUAUCAGAGCACGGGAUCCUGGUCAGGUGCAAGACAUGAAUGUUCUGAUAGACCAACAACAACAACAUACCCAAUCUAUUCCCACAAGUGGGGUCUGGGCUGUGUGUAGUGUACACAGACCUUACCCGUACCUUGUGGAGAUAGAGAGGCUGUUUCAGGAAUUCCCUCGGCUCGAGUAACACAUAAUGUUCUGAUAGAUCCCAGAAAAAAAAAAUCCUUAUAUCCUAAUUCUGCAAGUACAAGAAUAUUGGAAAGUUUGUAUCUGAGGCUAUGACUUAGUGGUCAAUGAAGUGGAAUGAAAAUCAUGAAAGACGUCACACUUUGGUAGAGACAACAUUUUUCAGGAGAAUUUUGUUAAUCUACCUUAGCCUUGAUCCGCAGAGUUAUAAUUGGUGCUUGACGAAUUGGGAAUCUGAUUCUAUCACCUAGAAGCUGAUUUGAAACUUGUGGUUGGUUGUGAUAUUUUCAGACCAUUUAUUUUAGCCCGUCCUGCAUUUUUUCAUUUCUGGUGCCAAAUCAACUCUUUGAGUGUUGGUUAUUUAGUCUAAAUUGGCAAGAUAAUCUGCGUUAGGUAGCCAACGUUUGCUAGCCGUUGCUAGACUAACAAUUAAGUGCCUAAUUCUUGACUUUUGAUGAAGUUUUUGCCCCACAAGUACUGUGGAAUGCAAAAGUUAGAAAAUUGUGAGUUUUUAUAUAGCAUAUAGCAGCUUGUACACUGCCUCGUUGAUUCUUCCCCUUGUUCCUUUUAUCUUGGACAUUGAGAUGCUUCGUAGUUAUUAAAUCAAGAUUAUAAUAAGAAUUAUGAGUAUGCAAUAAUCAAUAAUUGUUUGGUGGGCUGCACAACAUACUCAGAUUACUAUAUAAAUCUCUACCAAUAUACUUCUCUUUCACCAUGUCAACUUCUUCUCUCAAUUACAAACUUCAGCUCUGCUACUUAUAGUUGCAGGUAUGCAACAAAAAAUUAGCUGUCCAAGCUUUGACACUGAUUGUGUCUGCAAUUUCUACAGAACACAAGACGAAUUGCCAGCCACAAUAUAUAUAGAUAGUGAUGCAAAACUUCCAGCUGUUGAGUCCUAAUGCUGGUGGGGUAAAAGAUUUUUCGGCCGUUAACAUAAAAUAAAGAGAUGGAGAAUUUAAUAUAGCAGUGUCACCCCCUUUUUCACCAAAUUCCUUUGGGAUGAGAAACGAGAAGUGGCUUGAAAAAUCAAAGUGACGUUUACGAAAAAGGUUAUUUCUCCCAUUGUUCCAAAGACCUAAAAUUUUUGGAGAAAAAGGGAUGUGACAGUUAGGAAGAAAAUUUUGGUGUAUAGAGUGGUGUCUCCUCUCCAAGCAAAAGAGACUUUAAGAUGGCUUCACAGACAAUGGUAUCAUAGAUCAACAAAUGUCCGCCAUCACGAACUUCAUGAUAUUGAAUCCAAGGAAAAGGAUCGCUAAGCUCCAAAGGAUCAAAAUCCCAUUUACUAAAUGCCACAAGGAAGUCGCUUCGGAGGUUGUUGAAAACACUCCUGCUCUUUAGCUUAUCCUGAAGAUGGAAAGUACAAGUUAAAACAAUAUGAUGUAUCAGCUAGUUUAGUAUGGAAAGAAAAGUUGCAUUAUCUAAGCUAAAGCUUAAAUGGACGACAAGGUCAGUGAGGAUCCAUAUAGCCGACCUCUACUUGUUUGGGAUUAAGGCGUAGUUACUGUUAUUGACCUUACCGCGGUAAGAAAUUGAAAUCCAGGUGCCUUCUUUAAAAGCUCCAAGUCCUUGUCAGUAAAAUAUGUAGGUCUUGUAUUAUCAGCAGAGGGGGAGGAAGACGUUUUUCGGAUCAACCACCAAUGCAAUAAUCUAGGAGCAUAUCUUGCAACCCAAGUCAUCCUUUUGUACCACCUCUUCCGGUUGUCGUCCUUUGUUAUAGAGUCCGGGAGAGAGGGCCAUUGGUAAUUGACAAUGGGAACCACAAAUGCCACCCCGGCUAACCUAGCAAGUUGAGAAACAAGAUCUGAAUUUACGUGGAUAUAAACGUACGAUUCAAUUUGA
Molecule: long non-coding RNA, 4229 nt
Organism: Lycium barbarum (goji berry)
Lineage: Eukaryota; Viridiplantae; Streptophyta; Magnoliopsida; Solanales; Solanaceae
Exons: 3
Source: RefSeq, a predicted model, not a curated record